AUGCCGUGGAAUUUAAGUCAGCCUACACCAUUUCUACAAAAUGUGGGUGAGCCGCCGAUGCCAUUUAAGGCAUGGAUUCGUGUUUCCGAGAAUUAUGUCUUGGCCAUGGAUGAAGAGCUAUCAGACGCCCGAAAACGCGCUCUAUUGAUUCACUGCCUGGGGGCAGAAGGCCAGAGACUAUUUUACAUGCUCACGGUUGCAGAUGAUAAGUACGACACAGCAUUGCAAGCUAUUCGCACAUUCUUCGAGCCAAAAAUGAAUGUGGUAGCUGAACGGUACAGAUUUCGCCAGCGAGGACAACGGCAUGGUGAAACUACGGAUCAAUAUGUUGCGGCGCUAAAGGAGCUUAUGGCUACAUGCGAAUUCGGAGCCAUGGAGAAGGAAAUGAUCCGGGAUCAACUUGUUGAAAAAACUAAUUCAAAUCGCAUACGGGAAUGUUUACUCCUAGAGGUGGAUCUUACUUUGAAAAAAGCUGUCACAAUUGCCAGCCAAAUAGAAACGGCAGUGGCGGAGGCAAAUGUGAUGAGCAAACCGGCAGAUGGCACAGUACAAGUGAUUCAACAGUCACGUCAUCAGCACAAUAGAUCUGGCCGCGAAACAGGGAAAAAUGCACAGACAUUACGAGGAGCAACGGCAAUGCACUCAUCUACAUUCCAAGGGAAAACGUGUUACAGGUGUGGGUCAAAACAGCAUAAUGCCAACUUUCAAAAAUGCCCUGCCAAAGACGAAGAAAAAAGGAUCAUGUAUGGCGAGUGGCGCGUUACAGCUGAACUGUUCGUUGUGAACACUGGCACUGCGAUGUUGGGACGAGACUUGUUUGCAGCCUUGGAACUGCAGCUGUUAGAUGGCUUUAUUGUUACAUUGUCAUGCCGCACCAUAAAUUCAGCUGACGUUAGUACAGAUCCUGAGAAACAAGGAUUUACACACUUAGUCAAAGUUCGUGCCAACGUGAAACCAGUACAGCAGAAACUGCGCCGCCUUCCAUUUGCAGUCCGUGACGCUGUGUCACAGAAAUUACAGCGACUCAUUCAGCAGGAUGUGAUCGAACCGAUUGAAUCAUCAGAAUGGGUCUCACCAGUUGUGGUCACUAAAAAAAAGAUGGAAACAUACGACUUUGCGUGGAUUUGCGAGAACCAAAUAAGGCCAUAG
Long non-coding RNA from Cyprinus carpio (common carp), 1149 nucleotides. NCBI's taxonomy places the organism in Eukaryota, Metazoa, Chordata, Actinopteri, Cypriniformes, Cyprinidae. The record is from Ensembl.